UACGUAGGGGGCAAGCGUUGUCCGGAAUUAUUGGGCGUAAGGAGCUCGUAGGCGGCUUGGCGCGUCUGCUGUGAAAAUCCAGGGCUUAACCCUGGACCUGCAGUGGGUACGGGCAGACUAGAGUGCGGUAGGGGAGAUCGGAAUUCCUGGUGUAGCGGUGAAAUGCGCAGAUAUCAGGAGGAACACCGGUGGCGAAGGCGGGUCUCUGGGCCGAUACUGACGCUGAGGAGCGAAAGCGUGGGGAGCGAACAGG
This 253-nucleotide ribosomal RNA is filed under the name uncultured bacterium. Its description in RNAcentral is "partial 16S ribosomal RNA". It matches the Rfam family "Bacterial small subunit ribosomal RNA", at positions 524 to 776 of the family's 1533-position model. The record is from RNAcentral.